GACGAACGCUGGCGGCGUGCCUAACACAUGCAAGUCGAGCGGAGACAUGGUAAGGAAGGGUUUCGGCCUGGAAAGAUCAUGUUUUAGCGGCGGACGGGUGAGUAACGCGUGAGCAACCUGUCCUUGACAGGGGGAUAAGACCUCGAAAGGGGUUCUAAUACCGCAUAGGACCACGGGAUCACAUGAUUCUGAGGUGAAAGGAGCAAUCCGGUCAAGGGUGGGCUCGCGUCUGAUUAGAUAGUUGGUGAGGUAACGGCUCACCAAGUCAACGAUCAGUAGCCGACCUGAGAGGGUGAUCGGCCACAUUGGGACUGAGACACGGCCCAA
RNAcentral lists this ribosomal RNA (327 nucleotides) under uncultured bacterium. RNAcentral's name for it is "bacterial SSU rRNA". It matches the Rfam family "Bacterial small subunit ribosomal RNA", at positions 28 to 334 of the family's 1533-position model. The record is from RNAcentral.